RNAcentral lists this ribosomal RNA (325 nucleotides) under uncultured bacterium. RNAcentral's name for it is "bacterial SSU rRNA". It matches the Rfam family "Bacterial small subunit ribosomal RNA", at positions 8 to 359 of the family's 1533-position model. The record is from RNAcentral.
AGAGUUUGAUCCUGGCUCAGAACGAACGCUGGCGGCAGGCUUAACACAUGCAAGUCGAACGCGUGUAGCAAUACACGAGUGGCGCACGGGUGAGUAACGCGUGGAUAUCUGCCUUUUGGUUCGGAAUAACUCCGGGAAACUGGAGCUAAUACCGGAUGGUUCCUACGGGAUAAAGAUUUAUCGCCAAAAGAUGAGUCCGCGUACGAUUAGCUAGUUGGUGAGGUAAUGGCUCACCAAGGCGACGAUCGUUAGCUGGUCUGAGAGGACGAUCAGCCACACUGGGACUGAGACACGGCCCAGACUCCUACGGGAGGCAGCAGUGGGG